This 266-nucleotide ribosomal RNA is filed under the name uncultured Bacillus sp. Its description in RNAcentral is "partial 16S ribosomal RNA". It matches the Rfam family "Bacterial small subunit ribosomal RNA", at positions 1118 to 1382 of the family's 1533-position model. The record is from RNAcentral. Lineage: Bacteria; Bacillati; Bacillota; Bacilli; Caryophanales; Bacillaceae.
CUAACGCGUGAAGGCGAGCACUCUAGACGAACUGCCGUUUGAACAAAACGGAGGAAGGUGGGAUGACGUCAAAUCAUCAUGCCCCUUAUGUUCUGGGCUACACACGUGCUACAAUGGCCGGUACAGACGGACGCAAAGCCGCGAGGUGGAGCAAAUCCUAAAAAGCCGGUCUCAGUUCGGAUUGCAGGCUGCAAUUCGCCUGCAUGAAGUCGGAAUCGCUAGUAAUCGCAGGUCAGCAUACUGCGGUGAAUACGUUCCCGGGCCUU